RNA transcript from Rhea pennata, 4118 nucleotides. It is a transcript of the gene named scaffold attachment factor B1-like, with no coding region annotated. The transcript is spliced from 23 exons. The record is from RefSeq and is a predicted model, not a curated record. Lineage: Eukaryota; Metazoa; Chordata; Aves; Rheiformes; Rheidae.
GCCCGAGCCGUCAGCUCAGCGCGCCUGCGGACUGAGGCUCGAUUCCUCCCCUCCCCCUCCUCUCUUCAGCGCGUCUCGGUUUCGCCACCAUUUUGUGUUGCAACGGCUGCUCCUAGUUGUUGUUUUUAUCGUGCCUAGCUCUGUGCGCGCGAGCCGAAAAAACGGCCCCAUGGCGGAGAGUCAGUCAGUGGCCGGGCAGGGAGAAUCUGUGUCCCUGUGUGGGUCUGGAGCCCCCAGCUCGGAGCCUGAGACCCGGCGGCUGAGCGAGCUGCGCGUGAUAGACCUGCGGGCUGAGCUUAGGCGCCGCAAUUUGGACAGCGGUGGGAACAAGAGCGUCCUCAUGGAGCGGUUGAGGAAGGCUAUUGAGGAGGAAGGGGGGGAUCCAGAUGAAAUUCCAGUGGUUUCAGAAAAUAUCAUCAAGAAAACUCCCAAAAGAAGCAGCAAAGGACGUAGACCAGAGGAAGAAGGAGUUGAAGACAAUGGCCUGGAAGAGGAUUCAGGAGAUGGACAGGAGGAUAUUGAAGCAAGUUUGGAUAACUUGCAGGAUAUUGACAUGAUGGAUAUUAGUGUGUUAGAUGAAGCUGAAAUAGAUAAUGGCAAUGCUGUAGAUUGCGGAGAGGAUUACAGUGCUGAUAAUAUUCUUGACUCACUGUGUGAUAGUAAAGAAAAUGCUGAUGCAGAAAUGAAAGAACUUCCAGAUCAGCCUACAAAAUAUGCUGUAGGUAACUUGGAGGCAUCCCCACAAUUUUCAGAAAUUAAAGAAGAAUCAAGAGAAAUACCAGUAGUGAUGGUAGAGGUUGAAGAUGCUGGGAGCAGUUCAGAUGCUGUUUCAUCUGAUUUAACUGCUGUAAAGGAAAUUGAAGAACUACCUUUGGAGCCAGAAAAUGAGAAAAUACUCGACAUUUUGGGGGAAACUUGUAAAUCUGAACUACUUAACGAAGAAACUUCCGAAGUGGAGCAGCCACUUGCACAGGAAGCAAGUAACGUGGUGCCAGGCAAGAGGCUGGCCGGGGAAGAGGACGCUCUUGCUGCCGCUCAGUUGGAGGAAGAUGCUUUAGAUUUGGACAGCAAAUCGGCACAAGCUUUGGCAAGGAAGGAAGCAAAGCGUUUAGUUGUAGCAAAAGGGGAGACAAGUGAACAGACAAUAGAGGAAGAGAAACUGGACUCUGAAUCUUUAGUAGUAGAGACCCUAAGUGAUCAGAGUAGCAAACGAUCCCAAGGCCUGGAAGUCUCUAGUGGGGAAACAGCGGAAAAAGGCGCAGGUCCCGAAGCCAAAGAUAGCAAAGAAGAUGCCAAGAGAACAGAAGACAAAGCUAUUUCUGAGGAAUCCCCUGCUACUAAAGAGUCCUCAGCCAGUGAGGGCGGUGAUCAGAAAAAGAGCCCUGUUGAGGAUGCAGAUACAAAGAUAAUCUCAAAAGAUGAGAAAGGCCGCGCAAGUAGUGGUUCUGGCAGAAAUUUGUGGGUUAGUGGACUUUCCUCCUCUACUAGAGCUACAGACUUGAAGAACCUUUUCAGCAAAUAUGGAAAGGUGGUUGGUGCAAAAGUAGUGACAAAUGCUCGCAGUCCUGGUGCUCGCUGUUAUGGCUUUGUUACGAUGUCAACAUCUGAAGAAGCCACCAAGUGUAUUAGUCACCUCCACAGAACAGAGCUGCAUGGAAAAAUGAUUUCUGUGGAAAAGGCAAAAAAUGAACCAGCUGGGAAAAAGCCUUCAGACAAAAAGGAAGGUGAAACAAGGAAGGAAAAAGACAGACACCAUUCUGCAGAUUCCAAGUCUGAGAAGUCUACUGGCAUUAAAAAGGAGGAGAAGAUGGACAAAAAGGAUGAUGCUAAGAAACUAGAGAAAGAUGGAAAAGAUGAAAAAGAAGGAAAAGAAAAGGAUGAACAGAGAACUGGAUCCUCUGAUCGAUCUAGGGCAAGCAAAUCAGCAAGCCGAGGAACUGAAAGGACAGUAGUAAUGGAUAAAUCAAAAGGAGAGCCAGUUAUCAGUGUGAAAACAUCUACAUCAAAAGAGAGGAGUACGAAAAGCCAGGAUCGCAAAUCUGAGAGCAAAGAGAAGCAAGAUAUUUUAUCGUUUGAUAAAAUCAAAGAACAACGAGAACGUGAACGUCAGAGGCAAAGAGAGCGAGAAAUCAGAGAAACAGAAAGACGUCGAGAGAGAGAGAGGCGAGAGCGAGAGCAGCGCCUUCAAGCCAUUCAUGAACGGGAUGAAAGGCAGAGGCUCCAGAGAGAACGUGAGCGACUUGAAUUUCAACGGCAGCGUCUUGACAGAGAGCGCUUGGAGAGAGAGCGCUUGGAGAGAGAGAGAAUACACAUAGAGCAGGAAAGAAGAAGAGAACAGGAACGCAUCCAGCGAGAGAGGGAAGAGCUGAGACGUCAGCAAGAACAGCUACGUUAUGAACAAGAACGACGAUCUGCGAUGAGAAGGCCUUAUGAUCCUGAUGGCAGGCGAGAUGACCCAUACUGGCCAGAGGCAAAGCGAAUGGCAAUGGAUGAUAGAUACCAUUCUGAAUUUAAUCGUCAAGAUCGCUUUCAUGACUUUGACCACAGGGAUCGUGGUAGAUACCAAGAUCAUUCUUUGGACAGAAGAGAUGGUUCAAGAGGAAUACCAGAUCGAGAUGGGCAGCAUUACCCAGAUGAACGCCAUGGAGGGCCUGAUCGUCAUUCCCGGGACUCCCGAGAUGGUUGGAGUGGCUAUGGGUCUGACAGAAGAAUGACUGAAGGGAGAGGGAUGCCUCCGCAAUCCCGAGAUGGACGUGACUGGGGAGAUCAUGGUCGAAAGUUAGAGGGGCAUCAAGAUCGUUCAUGGCAGGGAAGUGUGGAUGGAGGAAUGAUGGGACGGGAUCAUGAGAGAUGGCAAGGUGGUGAUAGAAGCAUGCCUGGUCAGUCAGGACCAGGCCAUGUGAUGAAUCGAGGAGGGAUGUCAGGGCGUGGAGGCUUCACACAAGGUGGAAACCAGAGCCAGAUAAUGCAGAGUAGUGGAAUACAAGGAGGAUUUGCAGGACAGGAUCGACCGAACAGACUGACUGAUCCCCGUUUUACCCGCCGCUACUGAAAGCACUAUCUAUCAUAUAUAUUCUUUGGUGCUGUACUUCAUAAGAUGGGCUUAAAUACAGUGAAGGGAAGACACAGUCUGCUUUCAACACCAUCAGUUUCUAAAGCUAGAACCAACGAUAGUAAAUGCUGACGGAGAGGAAAGCUGGACAAGCGGUCUUUUUGUGAUUAAUACCUAAGGGACGAAGUGAAUGAAACGAGGAAGCAAAAACGCAGUAGACCCCUGAUAUCCCCAGCAACUGCUGCAGAAGGAGGUGUUCUGCCAUGGGCAAGUAAGGUGACUGUUGGUAACGACUGUUUGUUAUUUCGGCCUCCCAGAGGCAGUACUGAAGGCUAAGCAACCCUUUCCUGCCCUGUGGAUAUCGUUAACUGCAUCCACCUUAGUUUUGCUUUGGCUGUUUGUGUUUUGUCUUGUUAUCCUACGUGUGCAGAUAGAAAGGGAAGGAUACAAUACUUACACUUUCAGACGAAUUGCCACGGCUGAAGUUGAAGAGACCAGAAAAACGUAAGCAAGCUGAGGUGCGAAAACCACGUGGAACCAGCCAAGAGCCGUCUCCGUCUCCCGCAAACAAAAGCCCGUCCUUCCUGACUAGGAAGGCUCACUGUUAGUAGCGAUCGAAAUAAUAGGUCACAGACGUAUAACGAAGGUCUGUCCGCCUUACAGCAAGUAUGCUACAUACGUGUGUUUCUGUGCGUGUGACUUCACAUGUUUGUGAAAGAUCCUAGUUUAAAAGCUAUGAGACUGCAAAUUAUUAUCUUAGGGGAAUGAUACUGAAGUGGCCAAAGUUUCUGAAGAAGGAGAGGGAGAAAGAGAGAGAGGGAGAAAGUGCACGAACUGUAAAAUUAGGGAUGGUUUUCAGAGAUGGUUUUACCUGCCGCCUCGGGGGCUGCGGUGGGAGCUGACCCUUCCCCGACGGACGGACGGUCGGACAGACGGACGCUGGCGUGGCGAUGACUCUUCAGGUGUCACGGGGUAAGGGGAAGCGUGCCGGCACCGAGCUCCAUGGCAGGCUCGCUCCAAGGUGGUGUUUCUGCCCAGUAAAACAAUAAACAGCCGCUUUAUUCUU